This 320-nucleotide ribosomal RNA is filed under the name uncultured eukaryote. Its description in RNAcentral is "partial 18S ribosomal RNA". It matches the Rfam family "Eukaryotic small subunit ribosomal RNA", at positions 1470 to 1796 of the family's 1831-position model. The record is from RNAcentral.
CCCUUAGAUGUUCUGGGCUGCACGCGUGCUACAAUGGCGCUUGCAACAAGUCUUGCCAACCCGAUAGGGUGAGCGGAUCUUUGAAGAGGCGUCGUGAUCGGGACAGUUGAUUGCAAUUAUUCGACUCGAACGAGGAAUUCCUUGUAAUCGCGAUUCAUCAUAUCGCGCUGAAUACGUCCCCGCCCUUUGUACACACCGCCCGUCGCUCCUACCGAUUGAGCGAUCCGGUGAAUGUUUUGGACUGGCGUCAGAAGCGGUUCGCUCCUGACACUACGAAAUUUUGUAAACCUUAUCGCUUAGAGGAAGGAAAAGUCGUAACA